RNAcentral lists this ribosomal RNA (253 nucleotides) under uncultured bacterium. RNAcentral's name for it is "partial 16S ribosomal RNA". It matches the Rfam family "Bacterial small subunit ribosomal RNA", at positions 524 to 776 of the family's 1533-position model. The record is from RNAcentral.
UACGAGGGGGGCGAGCGUUGUUCGGAUUCACUGGGCGUAAAGGGUGCGUAGGCGGUCGGGUAAGUCUGAUGUGAAAUCUCACAGCUUAACUGUGAAACUGCAUUGGAUACUAUUCGGCUUGAGAGUUGGAGGGGGGACUGGAAUUCUUGGUGUAGCAGUGAAAUGCGUAGAUAUCAAGAGGAACACCAGUGGCGAAGGCGAGUCCCUGGACAACUUCUGACGCUGAGGCACGAAAGCUAGGGGAGCAAACAGG